This 253-nucleotide ribosomal RNA is filed under the name uncultured bacterium. RNAcentral describes it as "partial 16S ribosomal RNA". It matches the Rfam family "Bacterial small subunit ribosomal RNA", at positions 524 to 776 of the family's 1533-position model. The record is from RNAcentral.
UACAGAGGUCUCAAGCGUUGUUCGGAUUCAUUGGGCGUAAAGGGCGCGCAGGCGGCGCAUUUUGUCAGGCGUGAAAGCCCCGGGCUUAACCUGGGAACUGCGUUUGAUACGGAUGGGCUAGAGUUCGGGAGAGGAGAGUGGAAUUCCCAGUGUAGAGGUGAAAUUCGUAGAUAUUGGGAAGAACACCGGUGGCGAAGGCGGCUCUCUGGACCGAGACUGACGCUGAGGCGCGAAAGCGUGGGGAGCAAACAGG